GCAGCGAUGCCGCGUGAGUGAAGAAGGCCUUUGGGUUGUAAAGCUCUUUCGUCGGGGAAGAAAAUGACUGUACCCGAAUAAGAAGGUCCGGCUAACUUCGUGCCAGCAGCCGCGGUAAUACGAAGGGACCUAGCGUAGUUCGGAAUUACUGGGCUUAAAGAGUUCGUAGGUGGUUAAAAAAGUUGGUGGUGAAAUCCCAGAGCUUAACUCUGGAACUGCCAUCAAAACUUUUUAGCUAGAGUAUGAUAGAGGAAAGCAGAAUUUCUAGUGUAGAGGUGAAAUUCGUAGAUAUUAGAAAGAAUACCAAUUGCGAAGGCAGCUUUCUGGAUCAUUACUGACACUGAGGAACGAAAGCAUGGGUAGCGAAGAGGAUUAGAUACCCUCGUAGUCCAUGCCGUAAACGAUGUGUGUUAGACGUUGGAAAUUUAUUUUCAGUGUCGCAGCGAAAGCAAUAAACACACCGCCUGGGGAGUACGACCGCAAGGUUAAAACUCAAAUGAAUUGACGGGGACCCGCACAAGUAGUGGAGCAUGUGGUUUAAUUCGAAGAUACGCGCAGAACCUUACCAACACUUGACAUGUUCGUCGCGACUCUAAGAGAUUAGAGUUUUCGGUUCGGCCGGACGAAACACAGGUGCUGCAUGGCUGUCGUCAGCUCGUGUCGUGAGAUGUUGGGUUAAGUCCCGCAACGAGCGCAACCCUUACUUUUAGUUGCCAUCAUUUAGUUGGGAACUCUGAAAGAACUGCCAGUGAUAAGCUGGAGGAAGGUGGGGAUGACGUCAAGUCCUCAUGGCCCUUACGUGUUGGGCUACACACGUGCUACAAUGGCAUUUACAAUAGGAAGCAAGAUGGCGACAUCAAGCAAAUCCUAAAAAGAUGCCUCAGUUCGGAUUGUACUCUGCAACUCGAGUACAUGAAGCUGGAAUUACUAGUAAUCGCGGAUCAGCGUGCCGCGGUGAAUACGUUCCCGGGUCUUGUACACACCGCCCGUCACACCAUGGGAGUUGGUUCUACCUUAAGGCAAAGCCUAAAAACUUUGACCACGGUAUAGUCAGCGACUGGGGUGAAGUCGUAACAAGGUAGCCGUAGGGGAACCUGCGGCUG
Molecule: ribosomal RNA, 1103 nt
Filed under: marine metagenome
Description: bacterial SSU rRNA
Rfam family: Bacterial small subunit ribosomal RNA
Source: RNAcentral